ACGGAUCCUUCGGGAUUAGUGGCAGACGGGUGAGUAACGCGUGGGAAGCUACCUUGUGGUAGGGGACAACAGUUGGAAACGACUGCUAAUACCCUAUGAGCCCUAUGGGGGAAAGAUUUAUCGCCAUGAGAUGUGCCCGCGUUAGAUUAGCUAGUUGGUAAGGUAAUGGCUUACCAAGGCGACGAUCUAUAGCUGGUCUGAGAGGAUGAUCAGCCACACUGGGACUGAGACACGGCCCAGACUCCUACGGGAGGCAGCAGUGGGGAAUAUUGGACAAUGGGGGCAACCCUGAUCCAGCCAUGCCGCGUGUGUGAUGACGGCCUUAGGGUUGUAAAGCACUUUCAGCAGUGAAGAUAAUGACAUUAACUGCAGAAGAAGCCCCGGCUAACUUCGUGCCAGCAGCCGCGGUAAUACGAAGGGGGCUAGCGUUGUUCGGAAUCACUGGGCGUAAAGAGUACGUAGGCGGACUGAUAAGUUAGGGGUGAAAUCCCAAGGCUCAACCUUGGAACUGCCUUUGAUACUGUCAGUCUUGAGAUCGAGAGAGGUGAGUGGAACUCCGAGUGUAGAGGUGAAAUUCGUAUAUAUUCGGAAGAACACCAGUGGCGAAGGCGGCUCACUGGCUCGAUACUGACGCUGAGGUACGAA
This 645-nucleotide ribosomal RNA is filed under the name Pseudovibrio sp. AU60_Ted1_MB20FF. Its description in RNAcentral is "bacterial SSU rRNA". It matches the Rfam family "Bacterial small subunit ribosomal RNA", at positions 66 to 757 of the family's 1533-position model. The record is from RNAcentral. Lineage: Bacteria; Pseudomonadati; Pseudomonadota; Alphaproteobacteria; Hyphomicrobiales; Stappiaceae.